This 3749-nucleotide long non-coding RNA is filed under the name Trifolium pratense (red clover). Its description in RNAcentral is "long non-coding RNA (TPRA_LNC009960)". The record is from RNAcentral. Lineage: Eukaryota; Viridiplantae; Streptophyta; Magnoliopsida; Fabales; Fabaceae.
UUUUUUUUUUCGCCAGACAGUCCCUUCCAAAGAACCUUCACUGAUAUGAUAUCUUUUGAGUGCAAAUGUUUAAAUCAAUUAUAACUACUAGAUGUUCAAUAUACGACAUUCUCAUCUAAGUGAAUAUCUUCAUGAUUAAUAAUAACACGAGAAGAGUCAUAAAUAUACUUUUGAAGCAUAGAAAUGUGAAAGACCCAAUGAACUCCUAACAGAUCUGGUGGAAGAGCUAAGUGAUAAGCUAUAGGUCCAACUCUCUCCAAAAUCUCAAACGGUCCAAUGAGCCUUGGACAUAGUUUACCCUUCUUACUGAACCGCAAAACUUCUUUCAUUGGUGAAACAAGUAAAAGAAAAAAAACAAGCAUGAUCUCCCACAGUGAACUCUAAGGGAUGACACCUCUUGUCAGAAUAAGACCUCUUCCUACUUUGAGUUGUCACUAAAAAUCACAGAUCAAUUUAACCUUUUCAAUAAUAUCUUGAAUCAACUCUAGACGCACUAGUUUAGACUAACCAACCUCAAACCAUCCUAUCGAAAACAUACAUCAUCUAUACACAAUGUUACAAAAGACGCCACUUUAAUACUAGAUUGGUAACUAUUUAUAUGAAAAUUAUAUCAUAGAAAAACAUUGAUCAACUUCCUCCAAUAUUAACAACAAAAGCACGAAACAUAUUCUCUAUGUAUUGUAUAGUUUUGACAGAUUGACCAUCAAUCCGAUGGUAAUGAUUGUACUAAGAUUAAAAACGGGUUCCCAUUUCAGAUAGACUUCCAAAACAGAGCAGUCAACUGAGCCAUGUUGCUAGAGAUAGUAGAGAUUGACAUACCAUGUAAAGAAAGGAUCUCGUUUAAAUAAAUCUUAACAUAAUGAUCUACGGAUGGUUUAAAGUUUCUACUGUUGCAUAUAUGUAAAAUGGUCUACUGUUGGCACAAUUCCAUUAGCAUUCUUGCUGUAACUAACUAAAAUUCAACAAUAGACCUUAGAAUCAUAUCUCUUUUAGUUCAAUGGUCUAUUACUUUAGGCAUUUGGAACCAUACUUUCACAUCUUACAAUCAUUAAAACAGUAUACUCAAGGUUCUCACUCUUGUGACAUCUGUAAGACCACCCCCAACAAGAACUUAUAUAAGGUUGCAACAUUACUUUCAAACAAAACACGCAAGGAAUUGAACAUAAAAUUAAAGGUACCGAACUUAAAUUAUGUCUUGAACAAUGAUGUAUGGAGGUUUUGGGAGUAGCACUUCACACACUUCUAGUUUUAUUUGACACCCUGCUUUAACUAUAAUCAUUGCAGCAUAUCAAAAUCUCCUUUCCACCAACAUGCUUCCGCUGCGCAACUCUGAUUUGUUUGGUAAGUAGUUUAUGACCGUAUUCCAUAAUACUCACCUAAUUUACUCUCUACUGUUUCAAUUUAUCAACUCGUUAUCUAAUAACCCAAGAAACAUAUAGUAAGAAAUAUUGAGAGGUUUAAAAAUUAGUCUUCAAGAGCUUAUAAAUAAAAAAUAUUUGUUUCAUUCAUUCCAGAAGUUAAUCACCUUGAAUGACUAUCACAGGGUAUCAUUCUAUUAUAACUAGUAUUUACGUUAUAUAAACGACCUACUUCAUAUUUAAUUUACAUCUUAAUAGUCUACCAACCAAGCCUAGACAUACUCAAUCCAAAUGUAUUCCUAAAUCAAGGAUUAUUAAAUUUCAAGUUUAAUAAUAUCCUUAUCAAGGCCUAAACUUUUACUGAUAAAUAUGUCAAUAGCCUAGAUGCUACUAAUCAAUGCAGAGUUAAUAUGUGGUUUUCCGCCUGUUUCUAUUGCUUAGGAAUUUCACAGAUGAGUAAUUUUUUUAUUUUGGUGACUCAUAAGAAAAGGUAGAAUUUUGAGACUUGAAAAGAAAUUUCUCAAUCCUAGUAGGUCUUCAGUACAAUCUUGAUUUGAAAACUCCCAGGUUUAUGACCGUUAUCAAACAACUCGUCAAUUCAAAGUAAACAAUAUUCACUCGUUACUACCCUACUAUUCGAUUCUCUACCACACAAUACCACAUGGGUACGGUUCAUCUUUCUUCCCUAUAAACAAUAUCACAGCUUCCCAAGGAAAAGAAGUUGGACUAAUAAAUAUCUUAUUGAGAAAAUCAUAUAGCUUCUCCCUUAACACUUNNNNNNNNNNNNNNNNNNNNNNNNNNNNNNNNNNNNNNNNNNUCAGGAAAAACAUUAGGAAACUCACGUUUUUGGAACUAUUUAAUGUUUUUUCUUCACUCACUUGUAUUUCCAUAAUCAAGAAUAAUUAUCCAUAAUAACUCCCUUUUUAAUAACUUGUUAGAUCCUAAACAAGAGGUUAAAUUAUAUGGUACAAAAUCACGCUCUACUCGCAAAGGAUAAAAGCGAUUACCCAAUAUCUCAAGUCUCACUCCCUUGUUAUAAUAGACUAAGGUGAUAUGAUGGAAGAACAUCCAAUUCAUACACAACAUCCUGUCAUAAUUAAUCUAUACUAAAGCUACUAGUGUUAAUUCAUGACUAGAUAAUAAUUGUGUCAUAGCUGCCAAGGACGACCCCUCCUGUUAUUGCAUACUCAACCACAUUGAAAGUACAUUUUACCCUCUUUGAAAAAAAAUUCAGAUUGAAAUCAACCUUUAGAGUCAAAAUUAUUCUAAGGAAAAGUGAAUUAUCUAUAUGCCCCAUAAUCUAAUCUACGACUCUACACUGUGUAAAAAAAAUUUGUCUACUAGAACUAUUUCUCUUGUGAUACUAAUAUUUGUUGUGCCUUGAAAGUUCUGCAAAACGAGUUUUGUUCUUUGAAAUUGACAUAACCUCAGUUUGUUUAAAUCCCUCAUAGUCAUAAUUUAAACCAUCUCCAAAACUUUCUAGAAGAAAACGAGUCAUAAACAAUCAAGAGAUCUCACUCCAUACCAACGUCGAUGAUCCUAUUUGUACAGGUAAGUGUAUCAAACAAGUCAUAUACCAAAUCCUCCAACUUAAAUGAUGUCAACUUCACUGCCCUUAUAUCUGAGCAUCCUAACGCUUUUUAUAACCUCUUUAGAUAGUCAAUGAAUUUAAGUGGAUCCUCACGCACACUCGACGUAGAAAAGGUAAGGGUUUAAGUAUCAUGAAUUUCUCUAUAUCAACAUCAAUCUCUCUAGAUGGGGUUAUCGUCUAGUACUCACCCUGGCUAACUACUUGUGACCCAUAAAUAUUUUUUUGUCUUAGAUUAUCGUUAUAAUGCUACUUCUCAACAACAAUCACAAUAAGUUAUUGCAAUACCUUUAGCAAUAUUCGUCUUCCUCUAGGCAUCUCAACACUAAAUACUACUACUACAACCAAUCACGUCCGUCGACAUGAACGCCGCAUCCUCGAUCAUCUACUUUAAAUCGACAACGAGUACGUACGAAUCAUAACCUCUUUAACUAGGUUGGGAAGUAAACCAUAAGGAAAAACUUCGCUUCUAGUGGAGAUCCUAGUGUUGGGUGGCGUCCUCACCAAAUGAAAGAAAAUUGACCGAAUAUUGGACAAGACGACAAACAGAUGUAAACAAAUCAAAGACCAAAAGAGAGAUGAUAGGAUUGGACAACAAGUGAGACAGAGACUACCAUAGAGUACUAAUAGCUUCUUGCAAGUAAAUGGUGCCGCGGUUCACAAUUUACUAGCAAAAAUCUAUUAUCACUCUAUGUCUGCAGCUAUUAGGAUCUACAACCGAGCUCUGAUACCAACUUUGUCACGACCCAACUCUAAUCGUGACCGGCGCACGAACUAAUACUAGUCCGGCAAGCCUAAUGACC